GAUGAAGAACGUAGCGAAAUGCGAUAAGUAAUGUGAAUUGCAGAAUUCAGUGAAUCAUCGAAUCUUUGAACGCAUCUUGCGCUCCUUGGUAUUCUGAGGAGCAUGCCUGUUUGAGUGUCAUUAAAUUCUCAAGCACAGCUUGGUGUUGGGACUCGCGUUAAUUCGCGUUCCCCAAAUUGAUUGGCGGUCACGUCGAGCUUCCAUAGCGUAGUAGUAAAACCCUCGUUACUGGUAAUCGUCGCGGCCACGCCGUUAAACCCCAACUUCUGAAUGUUGACCUCGGAUCAGGUAGGAAUACCCGCUGAACUUAAGCAUAUCAAUAAGCGGAGGA
Molecule: unclassified non-coding RNA, 331 nt
Filed under: soil metagenome
Description: partial contains 5.8S ribosomal RNA, internal transcribed spacer 2, and large subunit ribosomal RNA
Rfam family: 5.8S ribosomal RNA (bases 1-120)
Source: RNAcentral